UGCCCAGCAACUCCUAUCCCUAACUCCUCGAGGUACUGGCCGGGGUACGAGUAACCUUAGGGAAAG
RNAcentral lists this ribozyme (66 nucleotides) under Aedes aegypti (yellow fever mosquito). RNAcentral's name for it is "drz-agam-1 ribozyme". It matches the Rfam family "drz-agam-1 ribozyme". The record is from Rfam by way of RNAcentral. Lineage: Eukaryota; Metazoa; Arthropoda; Insecta; Diptera; Culicidae.